GAAGACAAAUUCUUGCAUAUGUGGUAGGCAAAAAAAUUUUAUAUAAGCCAAAUCAAAGAAUUCCCUCUUGGUUUCUUGGAGGCAUAGGAUGUCACAUUUAGACUCGGUGCUUUUACUUCGCACUGCUUCCCAUUUUUUUCUGAGUUUAUCCCUCUGAUAUUCCAGGAUAGGAUUGUCCAGGUUUGCUAUGUGCGUCUAGGUUCAUGGUGGAGACUUAAGUUUUUUCCGGCCUCACCCCAUAUGGGGGUCCUUCCAGAUGAAUUGGGUUCGAACAUAAUGAAGACAGAAAAAGUGGGCAUGGUCAAAGCCCCAAUAUCAUAGAAUUAACCACGGUAAUCAUUAGUUUAGUUGGUAAUAGAAGUACCAUCAUUAAGUUAUAGGGGACCAAUAAGAGGGUCCACAGCGCAUAAGAGACAAUAACCAAUAGUCUGUUUAACAUCAUCAUCAUUCUAAUUCAAAGAAAACCAUAGGCCCUAAGAAGCAUCUGUGGGCUAAAUUCCCAUCCUCGACUUUCUCAGACCCUUCUACUUCUUUGUCUUCUUUGGAGGCUCCUGGACUUCUUUCUCCUCCAUCUCCCCUUUCCCUUUCC
This 589-nucleotide long non-coding RNA is filed under the name Setaria viridis. RNAcentral's name for it is "long non-coding RNA (SVIR_LNC008167)". The record is from RNAcentral. Lineage: Eukaryota; Viridiplantae; Streptophyta; Magnoliopsida; Poales; Poaceae.